AGCAGCCGCGGUAAUUCCAGCUCCAAUAGCGUAUAUUAAAGUUGUUGCAGUUAAAAAGCUCGUAGUUGAAUUUCGGAAUCUGUCCAUCGGUCGAGCUUCACUGUUCGUACUGGUGUGGUGGGUUCUUACCUUCUGAAUAACCAGCAUGCCAUUCACUUGGUGCGUUGGGGAAGCAGGACUAUUACCUUGAAAAAAUUAGAGUGCUCAAAGCAGGCCAGCGCCUGAAUACAUUAGCAUGGAAUAAUAAAAUAGGACGGCUUGGUUCUAUUUUGUUGGUUUCUAGGAUCACCGUAAUGAUUAAUAGGGAUAGUUGGGGGCAUUAGUAUUCAAUUGUCAGAGGUGAAAUUCUUGGAUUUAUUGAAGACUAACUUCUGCGAAAGCAUUUGCCAAGGAUGUUUUCAUUAAUCAAGAACGAAAGUUAGGGGAUCGAAGACGAUCAGAUACCGUCGUAGUCUUAACCAUAAACUAUGCCGACUAGGGAUCGGACGAUGUUAAUUUUUUUAAUGACUCGUUCGGCGCCUUACG
This 525-nucleotide ribosomal RNA is filed under the name uncultured Acaulospora. RNAcentral's name for it is "SSU rRNA". It matches the Rfam family "Eukaryotic small subunit ribosomal RNA", at positions 569 to 1092 of the family's 1831-position model. The record is from RNAcentral. Lineage: Eukaryota; Fungi; Glomeromycota; Glomeromycetes; Diversisporales; Acaulosporaceae.